Molecule: ribosomal RNA, 253 nt
Filed under: uncultured bacterium
Lineage: Bacteria
Description: partial 16S ribosomal RNA
Rfam family: Bacterial small subunit ribosomal RNA
Source: RNAcentral
UACGGGGGGGGCAAGCGUUGUUCGGAAUUACUGGGCGUAAAGGGCUCGUAGGCGGCCAACUAAGUCGGACGUGAAAUCCCUCGGCUUAACUGGGGAACUGCGUCUGAUACUGGAUGGCUUGGAUUCGGGAGAGGGAUGCGGAAUUCCUGGUGUAGCGGUGAAAUGCGCAGAUAUCAGGAGGAACACCGGUGGCGAAGGCGGGUCUCUGGGCAGCUACUGACGCUGAGGAGCGAAAGCGUGGGGAGCGAACAGG